AUACAGAGGGUGCGAGCGUUAAUCGGAUUUACUGGGCGUAAAGCGCGCGUAGGCGGCUUUUUAAGUCGGAUGUGAAAUCCCCGAGCUUAACUUGGGAAUUGCAUUCGAUACUGGGAAGCUAGAGUAUGGGAGAGGAUGGUAGAAUUCCAGGUGUAGCGGUGAAAUGCGUAGAGAUCUGGAGGAAUACCGAUGGCGAAGGCAGACGUCUGGCCUAAUGCUGACGCUGAGGUGCGAAAGCAUGGGGAGCAAACAGGAUUAGAUGCCCUGGUAGUCCAUGCCGUCAACGAUGUCUACUAGCCGUUGGGGCCUUUGAGGCUUUAGUGGCGCAGCUAACGCGAUAAGUAGACCGCCUGGGGAGUACGGUCGCAAGACUAAAACUCAAAUGAAUUGACGGGG
RNAcentral lists this ribosomal RNA (396 nucleotides) under uncultured bacterium. RNAcentral's name for it is "partial 16S ribosomal RNA". It matches the Rfam family "Bacterial small subunit ribosomal RNA", at positions 523 to 918 of the family's 1533-position model. The record is from RNAcentral.